RNAcentral lists this transfer RNA (73 nucleotides) under Stegodyphus dumicola. RNAcentral's name for it is "tRNA-Val". It matches the Rfam family "tRNA". From Rfam's summary of the family: Transfer RNA (tRNA) molecules are approximately 80 nucleotides in length. Lineage: Eukaryota; Metazoa; Arthropoda; Arachnida; Araneae; Eresidae. The record is from RNAcentral.
GCCUUCGUGGUGUAGUGGUCUGCACGCUCUGCACACAAUGGAGAGGUCCGCGGUUCGAUUCCCGGCGAAGGCG